CAGAUCUCCGCGAGAAGAAAAAAGUUAAAAGAAUUAACAAUGUGUCCAGAGAUUUUCAAUCCUUACCGCGUUUCGAGUUUCGACGUACGCGACGGAUAGAAACACCAACGAAAUUAAGGACGACGAACGAGAUGAUGAGCACGAUAUCAUACGCGGUUUGGCCCUGCAUAAUACCAAACUAGCUAUAUCCUCAGUGCUUAUCUCCUCCCGGCUCUAUCUCAGGUUUUCAUGGCGCAUAUGUAUCAGACUAGCUAGGCAUCGAUCGUGAAUGCGCGCAUGCAUGCAUGACGUACGACGCAUCAGCUAGCUAAUUUGCUAUAGCUAGGUUUACAUAAGUUGUUGUAUAUGUUACAGCUAUAGGUUUAUAAGAAUAGUUGUACAAAGUUUACUCUUCACUUAUCCUAUACAUAUCAAUACAAAAUAAAAAAUAAACUAGAAUACUCCUAAUUUAUCAAUAAUACAAUUAAUUACUCACUUUAUCUACUCCCAAUACAAUUAUUCCCUAUUUUAAAAGAACUCCAAUGCAAUGAUUAUUUAAAAAUAAACUUAUUUUACAACAAAAGUAGGAGCCAAAAAUAAACCUAUUAACAGAGAGGGAAUAUAUAUGUAAGUAUAACCCAAGCACCUAGCGUACGUGUCCAUGCUCAAUUGCUCAUGAACUAGCCGGGCUAGCUUUAGCUAUAGCUAUCUAACACCGGACCGGCCGAUCGAUGUUCGAUGGAAAAAUAGCCAAACCGUUCGUCCGGCCGGUCGGGCCGGCGGCGCCGCCUAUAAAUAGAUUGCAAAGCACUCAGCGAUCACCUCUCCUCCUCGAUCCCAUGAGCCACUGCGUUCUAGCUAGCUAGCUACUGGGCGGUGGCCGGGUCACCCACACCGAUCGAUCCACUCGAUCUCACCUACACUCGCCGUCGACGUCCAGCUGCACCGCGCGCUGCGCCGCCACUGCUUGCCAUGGCUCCGCCGCAGCCGCCGGCACGCCGGGUCGUCGCGCCGCGGUACGUGCCGAGGAGGGGGAUGGUACUCAGGGCCGUGUUCGCCGUCCUCCUCUCGUGGCUCCUCCGUCGCCGCCGCCAUCACCGUCGCCACCGCCGCCGCCCGCGGCGCCACGGCGGCGGCGGCGGCGUCGUCGAGCCCGCACCACCAGAUCAGCCGAACGCCGCGGGCUAACGCGCGCCCACCACUACUCCGACCAGCUGCAUGUACAUGCAAUAUUACUGCUGCUUAAUUUAAGUGAGUGAGUUUUCCGGGUUGUGUUUUCCUGUAGUUUUCUUGGUCCAGCUCGCUAGCUUGAACAAGAAAGGUUAACUAUUUUUUAACCUGAACUUUUAAUUCUCUUUCUCCGUGCUGAUUAAACUGCAGGUCAUCAAGUAAAUUAACCCAGCCCAGAAAUGAUCAAGUAGAUAGAACGGAAGCAGAUCCUCUAAUUUAACUGCACAUGCAGUUGAGUCACUGGCAUAUGGGUCCCACUUUACUAUGGCCUACAUGUCAGUGACUCAACUGCGCAGCAGUUAAAUCAGAGGAUCCCUUUUACACUAGCGUAGAGACCAAAGUUAAGGUCUACGGUGGAGUCAAGCAACCGGUGGUUGGGACUUGGGAUUGAUCAGUGAUCAUCAUAUCGGGUGGACCUGUGCGGGUCAACGUUAAUUAUUGUUCUUUCAUUUGUUAUUAAUUAGUUAAAUUUGUUCGUUCCUUAUAUAUAUAUAUAUAUAUAUAUAUAUAUAUAUAUAUAUAUAUAUAUCC
Molecule: long non-coding RNA, 1740 nt
Filed under: Oryza sativa (Asian cultivated rice)
Lineage: Eukaryota; Viridiplantae; Streptophyta; Magnoliopsida; Poales; Poaceae
Description: long non-coding RNA (OSAT_LNC001101)
Source: RNAcentral